RNAcentral lists this ribosomal RNA (270 nucleotides) under uncultured bacterium. RNAcentral describes it as "partial 16S ribosomal RNA". It matches the Rfam family "Bacterial small subunit ribosomal RNA", at positions 29 to 224 of the family's 1533-position model. The record is from RNAcentral.
AGCGAACGCUGGCGGCAGGCUUAACACAUGCAAGUCGAGCGCCCCUCCUUCAAGCGAGCUUGGAGGUUGCGGAGCGGGUUUCUCGGGUGGGCGCAAGCUCGCUUGAAGGAAACGCUUUGGAGAUCAAGCGAGCCUGAAGGCUCGCUUGAUGGAGGGGAGCGGCAGACGGGAGAGUAACACGUGGGAACGUACCUUUCGGUUCGGAACAACCCAGGGAAACUUGGGCUAAUACCGGAUACGCCCGCAAGGGGAAAGAUUUAUCGCCGGAAG